GGGUUGUGAGGUUAAGCGACUAAGCGUACACGGUGGAUGCCCUGGCAGUCAGAGGCGAUGAAGGACGUGCUAAUCUGCGAAAAGCGUCGGUAAGGUGAUAUGAACCGUUAUAACCGGCGAUGUCCGAAUGGGGAAACCCAGUGUGAUUCGUCACACUAUCGUUAACUGAAUACAUAGGUUAACGAGGCGAACCGGGGGAACUGAAACAUCUAAGUACCCCGAGGAAAAGAAAUCAACCGAGAUUCCCCCAGUAGCGGCGAGCGAACGGGGAGCAGCCCAGAGUCUGAAUCAGCUUGUGUGUUAGUGGAACGGUCUGGAAAGUCCGACGGUACAGGGUGAUAGUCCCGUACACCAAAAUGCACAGGCUGUGAACUCGAAGAGUAGGGCGGGACACGUGGUAUCCUGUCUGAAUAUGGGGGGACCAUCCUCCAAGGCUAAAUACUCCUGACUGACCGAUAGUGAACCAGUACCGUGAGGGAAAGGCGAAAAGAACCCCGGCGAGGGGAGUGAAAAAGAACCUGAAACCGUGUACGUACAAGCAGUGGGAGCACCUUUAUGGUGUGACUGCGUACCUUUUGUAUAAUGGGUCAGCGACUUAUAUUCUGUAGCAAGGUUAACCGUAUAGGGGAGCCGCAGGGAAACCGAGUCUUAACUGGGCGUUAAGUUGCAGGGUAUAGACCCGAAACCCGGUGAUCUAGCCAUGGGCAGGUUGAAGGUUGGGUAACACUAACUGGAGGACCGAACCGACUAAUGUUGAAAAAUUAGCGGAUGACUUGUGGCUGGGGGUGAAAGGCCAAUCAAACCGGGAGAUAGCUGGUUCUCCCCGAAAGCUAUUUAGGUAGCGCCUCGUGAACUCAUCUUCGGGGGUAGAGCACUGUUUCGGCUAGGGGGUCAUCCCGACUUACCAACCCGAUGCAAACUACGAAUACCGAAGAAUGUUAUCACGGGAGACACACGGCGGGUGCUAACGUCCGUCGUGAAGAGGGAAACAACCCAGACCGCCAGCUAAGGUCCCAAAGUCAUGGUUAAGUGGGAAACGAUGUGGGAAGGCACAGACAGCCAGGAUGUUGGCUUAGAAGCAGCCAUCAUUUAAAGAAAGCGUAAUAGCUCACUGGUCGAGUCGGCCUGCGCGGAAGAUGUAACGGGGCUAAACCAUGCACCGAAGCUGCGGCAGCGACACUAUGUGUUGUUGGGUAGGGGAGCGUUCUGUAAGCCUGCGAAGGUGACCUGUGAGGGUUGCUGGAGGUAUCAGAAGUGCGAAUGCUGACAUAAGUAACGAUAAAGCGGGUGAAAAGCCCGCUCGCCGGAAGACCAAGGGUUCCUGUCCAACGUUAAUCGGGGCAGGGUGAGUCGACCCCUAAGGCGAGGCCGAAAGGCGUAGUCGAUGGGAAACAGGUUAAUAUUCCUGUACUUGGUGUUACUGCGAAGGGGGGACGGAGAAGGCUAUGUUAGCCGGGCGACGGUUGUCCCGGUUUAAGCAUGUAGGCUGGUUAUCCAGGCAAAUCCGGAUAAUCAAGGCUGAGGUGUGAUGACGAGGCACUACGGUGCUGAAGUAACAAAUGCCCUGCUUCCAGGAAAAGCCUCUAAGCAUCAGGUAACAUCAAAUCGUACCCCAAACCGACACAGGUGGUCAGGUAGAGAAUACCAAGGCGCUUGAGAGAACUCGGGUGAAGGAACUAGGCAAAAUGGUGCCGUAACUUCGGGAGAAGGCACGCUGGUGUGUAGGUGAAGCCCCUGCGGGUGGAGCUGAGACCAGUCGAAGAUACCAGCUGGCUGCAACUGUUUAUUAAAAACACAGCACUGUGCAAACACGAAAGUGGACGUAUACGGUGUGACGCCUGCCCGGUGCCGGAAGGUUAAUUGAUGGGGUUAUCCGUAAGGAGAAGCUCUUGAUCGAAGCCCCGGUAAACGGCGGCCGUAACUAUAACGGUCCUAAGGUAGCGAAAUUCCUUGUCGGGUAAGUUCCGACCUGCACGAAUGGCGUAAUGAUGGCCAGGCUGUCUCCACCCGAGACUCAGUGAAAUUGAACUCGCUGUGAAGAUGCAGUGUACCCGCGGCAAGACGGAAAGACCCCGUGAACCUUUACUAUAGCUUGACACUGAACAUUGAGCCUUGAUGUGUAGGAUAGGUGGGAGGCUUUGAAGCGUGGACGCCAGUCUGCGUGGAGCCAACCUUGAAAUACCACCCUUUAAUGUUUGAUGUUCUAACGUUGGCCCCUUAUCGGGGUUGCGGACAGUGUCUGGUGGGUAGUUUGACUGGGGCGGUCUCCUCCCAAAGCGUAACGGAGGAGCACGAAGGUUAGCUAAUCCUGGUCGGACAUCAGGAGGUUAGUGCAAUGGCAUAAGCUAGCUUGACUGCGAGCGUGACGGCGCGAGCAGGUGCGAAAGCAGGUCAUAGUGAUCCGGUGGUUCUGAAUGGAAGGGCCAUCGCUCAACGGAUAAAAGGUACUCCGGGGAUAACAGGCUGAUACCGCCCAAGAGUUCAUAUCGACGGCGGUGUUUGGCACCUCGAUGUCGGCUCAUCACAUCCUGGGGCUGAAGUAGGUCCCAAGGGUAUGGCUGUUCGCCAUUUAAAGUGGUACGCGAGCUGGGUUUAGAACGUCGUGAGACAGUUCGGUCCCUAUCUGCCGUGGGCGCUGGAGAAUUGAGGGGGGCUGCUCCUAGUACGAGAGGACCGGAGUGGACGCAUCACUGGUGUUCGGGUUGUCAUGCCAAUGGCACUGCCCGGUAGCUAAAUGCGGAAGAGAUAAGUGCUGAAAGCAUCUAAGCACGAAACUUGCCCCGAGAUGAGUUCUCCCUGAGACUUUAAGUCUCCUGAAGGAACGUUGAAGACGACGACGUUGAUAGGCCGGGUGUGUAAGCGCAGCGAUGCGUUGAGCUAACCGGUACUAAUGAACCGUGAGGCUUAACCUUACAACGCCGAAG
Molecule: ribosomal RNA, 2924 nt
Filed under: Klebsiella quasipneumoniae
Lineage: Bacteria; Pseudomonadati; Pseudomonadota; Gammaproteobacteria; Enterobacterales; Enterobacteriaceae
Description: 23S ribosomal RNA
Rfam family: Bacterial large subunit ribosomal RNA
Source: RNAcentral